UUUAAAUUCUAAAAAUGAUAUUAUAUUAUAUCUUACAUUA
Molecule: transfer RNA, 40 nt
Filed under: Pontobdella muricata
Lineage: Eukaryota; Metazoa; Annelida; Clitellata; Hirudinida; Piscicolidae
Description: partial tRNA-Leu
Source: RNAcentral